RNAcentral lists this ribosomal RNA (387 nucleotides) under uncultured bacterium. RNAcentral's name for it is "bacterial SSU rRNA". It matches the Rfam family "Bacterial small subunit ribosomal RNA", at positions 37 to 416 of the family's 1533-position model. The record is from RNAcentral.
GACGAACGUGGCGGCGUGCUUAACACAUGCAAGUCGAGCGGUAAGGCCCUUUCGGGGGUACGACGAGCGGCGAACGGGUGAGUAACACGUGGGUGACCUGCCCUCAGCUCUGGGAUAAGCCUGGGAAACCGGGUCUAAUACUGGAUAUGACUCCAUGACGCAUGUUGUGGGGUGGAAAGCCUUGUGCGGCUGAGGAUGGGCCCGCGGCCUAUCAGCUUGUUGGUGGGGUGAUGGCCUACCAGGGCGACGACGGGUAGCCGGCCUGAGAGGGCGACCGGCCACACUGGGACUGAGACACGGCCCAGACUCCUACGGGAGGCAGCAGUGGGGAAUCUUGCGCAAUGGGCGAAAGCCUGACGCAGCGACGCCGCGUGAGGGAUGACGGCC